CAGUACGUUCCCUCAUCCACAGCAAACAGUGGCCCUGGCCCCAGUCCCCCUGGGAAGCCAGGAGCCCUUGGACGUCACGCCCCUGUACCUGACAGCCUCCUCCUCCUCUGCUAGAGAAGGUUGCUGCUGUGUCCUGCCUGCCAUCGGCCCUACACUGAAGGGUGUCUCCCCGGGACCUUGACCUCUGACUUAGUAUCUUCAAACAAGCCCUUUCUCUAAUCGUGGGCUUCCUGGCAAGGGGAUUUGAGGCGUUCAUAGAAGCUCGGGGGAUGUUUUCAGGGCCAGCAGAGUCUCUACUCAUUGGAACUCAAUGAGAAUUCCACUAUGCAAGCUCGAGGCUGCCUGUGCCUGGAGAGAAAUUAAAUUCAGACUUGAAAGCAUAAAUAAAUAUAUUAUCCUCCUGCCUGCGCCGGUGACUCAGCUUCAAAAGCAUUCAAUCCCAACGAGAGCGUCUCCUGUGCUUUUUCUACAUGAAGCUUAAGUGAUUCGGAUAUUCUGUUAUUCAACGGGAUGAGUAGAUGACUCAGGCCACAGGGCAACUGACUUCCUCUGAAGUCUCAAGUCUGGAGUCGAAAACGCAA
Long non-coding RNA from Phacochoerus africanus (Common warthog), 581 nucleotides. RefSeq lists it as uncharacterized. The record is from RefSeq and is a predicted model, not a curated record. NCBI's taxonomy places the organism in Eukaryota, Metazoa, Chordata, Mammalia, Artiodactyla, Suidae. The transcript has 3 exons.